Molecule: ribosomal RNA, 301 nt
Filed under: uncultured bacterium
Lineage: Bacteria
Description: partial 16S ribosomal RNA
Rfam family: Bacterial small subunit ribosomal RNA
Source: RNAcentral
CAGUCGCCGCGGUAAUACAGAGGAUGCAAGCGUUAUCCGGAAUGAUUGGGCGUAAAGCGUCUGUAGGUGGCUUUUCAAGUCCGCCGUCAAAUCCCAGGGCUCAACCCUGGACAGGCGGUGGAAACUACCAAGCUGGAGUACGGUAGGGGCAGAGGGAAUUUCCGAUGGAGCGGUGAAAUGCGUUGAGAUCGGAAAGAACACCAGUGGCGAAGGCGACUCUCUGGUCUGUAACUGACGCUGAGGAGCGAAAGCGUGGGGAGCGAACAGGAUUAGAUACCCCCGUAGUCCCUGUCUCUUAUAC